AGUGAACGCUGGCGGCAGGCCUAACACAUGCAAGUCGAACGGCAGCACAGUAAGCGCUUGCUCUUACGGGUGGCGAGUGGCGGACGGGUGAGGAAUACAUCGGAAUCUACUCUUUCGUGGGGGACAACGUAGGGAAACUUACGCUAAUACCGCAUACGAUCUACGGGAGAAAGCAGGGGAUCUUCGGACCUUGCGCGAUUGAAUGAGCCGAUGUCGGAUUAGCUAGGUGGCGGGGUAAAGGCCCACCAAGGCGACGAUCCGUAGCUGGUCUGAGAGGAUGAUCAGCCACACUGGAACUGAGACACGGUCCAGACUCCUACGGGAGGCAGCAGUGGGGAAUAUUGGACAAUGGGCGCAAGCCUGAUCCAGCCAUGCCGCGUGGGUGAAGAAGGCCUUCGGGUUGUAAAGCCCUUUUGUUGGGAAAGAAAAGCAGCAGGUUAAGACCCCGCUGUUCUGACGGUACCCAAAGAAUAAGCACCGGCUAACUUCGUG
Molecule: ribosomal RNA, 492 nt
Filed under: uncultured bacterium
Lineage: Bacteria
Description: partial 16S ribosomal RNA
Rfam family: Bacterial small subunit ribosomal RNA
Source: RNAcentral